Long non-coding RNA from Haliotis rubra (blacklip abalone), 915 nucleotides. RefSeq lists it as uncharacterized. The transcript is spliced from 2 exons. The record is from RefSeq and is a predicted model, not a curated record. NCBI's taxonomy places the organism in Eukaryota, Metazoa, Mollusca, Gastropoda, Lepetellida, Haliotidae.
AUAUUCUUAAGUGCGACGUUAAACCUAACCUCAACUCACCUCAAAUCAACUCAACUCAAAUCAACUCAUAUCCAGACAUACCAUCAAUACAAAACGUCCAUAUGUCAAAAUCUACUAAGGUUCUCCAUCUGGAACUUCGAAGACAUGUUUUGAUAUUUUCACAGGCUGACCAUAAAUAUGUACACUGAACAUUGCAGAUCAUAUGACAACCACUGACACUUUCUUGAUGUUGAACACUGCGAAACAGAAUGUACGGAAACACACAAUCUCUCAUUUCAUAUCUCAUAAGAACAUGAUGGGAACUGCGGGCUGCUUCAUUCUGGCUCCAUCCACAUUAUAUCAGUAAAUGGUUUGAUUUAGUAAUGGAUUACUGUGGUGCUUGUGUGUCAAGAAUGCAUGCGUGCUUUUUCAUAAGUCCAAGUGUAUGAUAGUACAAGAGGUGCACCGGGACACCCGUGCAUGUUUCAGGAGAUUUCUCAUUGACUGCAUGCAUGAUUAAUCGAUUAUAUUCUUCCACUUGUAAUUUGGAAAAAUGGGUGAUUUGUUCAACAUCUCGUGAACCAGUUAAUUUUUCAAUUUUGCCAAACAUACUACUGAUAACAAGUACUGUUCUGUAACUGCAUUUGUGUUGCCGAAUACACUUUCAGCUUUGCAAGAUCGGACAUACGAACUUGUUGGACAGAUGAUUGCAUACUCUAUUGUGCACGGUGGACCACUACCCAGUUUCCUCCAUCCACUUCUGUGUGAUGCCAUGGUCCAUGGCAUAGACAGCGUUCAGCCAACAACAGACCACAUUAUGGACCACGAAUACAGGGAUCAAGUGGUGAAGUUAUCUCAGGCCGAGGAUUACACGGCCUUUGAAGACCUGAUUCAGAUGGCAGGUUGUAUAUCCAUGGUCCAUACGCUGAGCAGGCG